Molecule: ribosomal RNA, 465 nt
Filed under: uncultured bacterium
Lineage: Bacteria
Description: partial 16S ribosomal RNA
Rfam family: Bacterial small subunit ribosomal RNA
Source: RNAcentral
CCUACGGGCGGCAGCAGUAGGGAAUCUUCCACAAUGGGCGAAAGCCUGAUGCAGCAACGCCGCGUGCGUGAAGAAGGUCCUCGGAUCGUAAAACUCUGUUUGUAGAGAAGAAAGUCCGUGAGAGUAACUGUUCACGUUUCGACGGUAUCUAACCAGAAAGCCACGGCUCACUACGUGCCAGCCGCCGCGGUAGUACGUAGUUGGCAAGCGUUAUCCGGAUUUAUUGGGCGUAAAGGGAGCGGAGGCGGUCUUUUAAGGCUGAUGUGAAAGCCUUGGGCUUAACCGGAGUAGUGCAUUGGAGACUGGGGGACUAGAGAGUAGAAGAGGAAGGUGGAACUCCAGGUGUAGCGGUGAAAUGCUUAGAUAUCAGGAAGAACACCAGUGGCGAAGGCGGCUUACCGGUCUAUAACUGACGCUGAGGUUCGAAAGCGUGGGUAGCAAACAGGAUUAGAUACCCUUGUAGUC